Equus caballus (horse) is the source of this 1041-nucleotide non-coding RNA. NCBI's taxonomy places the organism in Eukaryota, Metazoa, Chordata, Mammalia, Perissodactyla, Equidae. The record is from RefSeq and is a predicted model, not a curated record.
GGAGAAGAGGGCCUGCGCUGGCUGAAGCACACUUCUCCCUUGUUCUGAACCCACACCUCAGAUCUCCUGAGACCCUCGUGCGUGCUCGUGGCCCUUGAGGCGGCACGGGGAAGCAGCGGGUAGGAGUCUGGCUUGAGAAAGAUGUCAGUAACAUCCCACCUCUCAUGCCACCCCUUAUGUUCAUUCUCUAUUUUUAUUCAUAUUCGAACAUUAUUUUAUUGUGUAUUUUCUUCGGUAAGCCUCAUUAACUCCUUUGUAGAAUGAGGCAAGAUGUAAAAACAUGAAGCUUCACAGAUUAUAUACACAAAUUAAAUGUAGCAUGUUAACGAUACAGCAUCCCGUCUUGUCCACGGGACAUACAUUCCCUCGUGCCAGUGGAGGCCUGAAACUGCAGAUAGUGCUGAACCCUAUGUAUACUAUGUUUUUCCUACACAUACAUACCUAGGAUAAAGUUUAGUUUAUAAAUUGGGCACAGUAAGAGAUUAACAACAAUAACUAAUAAUAAAUAGAACAAUUAUAAAAUAUAUUAUAAUAAAAGUUACAUGAAUUUGGUCUCUGUCAGAAUACUUUAUCAUACUGCACUCACCAUUCUCCUUGUGAUGAUGUGAGAUGACGGAAUGCCCACAUGAUGAGAUGGAGUGGGGAAUGACAUAGGCAUUGUGACUUAGCAUCAGGCUACUUGGUGACCUUCUGACAUACUCAGAAGGAGGAUCAUCUGCUUCCUGAUCGCAGUUGACAGUGGGCGGUACACCUCACUAAUCAUCGCAGAUACACUGCAGGAACUCAUGUCUCACAGACCCGUGUCUCCUACUCAACUUUCAGCUUCUAGAGCGUGGAGACCGUGUCCUACUGUCCUUUAUUUAUAGAACUUGGCCAACAACUGAUGCGUAAUAAUUGCGUAAGAAGUGAGUGCAUAAAUGAGAAUUUUUUUAAAUGGGGAGAUUAUUCAGAAUAAAUGAAAUGUAGAAUAUCAGAAUAUUUUAUAAGAAAUGGCAUUUUGGACAAGUUGUUAUUACUUAUCAGUACUUUCAGAAACACAAA